Long non-coding RNA from Gasterosteus aculeatus aculeatus (three-spined stickleback), 851 nucleotides. Lineage: Eukaryota; Metazoa; Chordata; Actinopteri; Perciformes; Gasterosteidae. The record is from Ensembl.
CUCGAGGACGCAGUCUUCCUCCCAGGAGAAGCUUUGCCGCUGUAGAAGCUGAAAUGUAAAAUCAAGGUAACGUUCUUCAAGGUCAACCACAGCUUUGAAGAAGGCCUUUGCACCCGAAGCAGCAGGCAUGGGGACAAAAUGCCAACUCCAUCCAGGAAGCUGCUGGGGUAAAGAGUGACGGUCUUUCCCCACAUCUCCACCCAUAGUCUCCAGAAGACGAGUGACUACGUGGUCUCUGGUGUACUCUGACCUGGACCGACGGGCAAACAAAGACGCUCCGAUGGCGAGGGACCACAGAUGGGACACGUGAGGGGAGUGACUUGUUUAGUUGACGCCCGUCCAGAUGUGAUGUGAGGAAACCAUCAGCCACCUUUGUGCCUUUGCACCGCUGCAAGAUUUGAACCAGCUUUGUUUACCACCGUGCAACAAAGUCAGUGGCAGGACACCUCGAAACCUUUUGCCAGAUGAGGUCAAACUACUCAUCUGUCCUCCGCUGCCAUGCGGCUGUGGAUUAUCUGAAAGCCGAGAGGAUGGGCCAGAAUCAGCCGAGGCUCGAAGCCGGGAGACUCGGAACCGCUGAACGUUGUUGUCAGUCAUUUUUCUCAACUGAAGUAUAUUCAGCCACUGCGGUUAUUAUUGUACGGUCGCUAGAAAGUGAAACUCCAUGGACAGUUCACAGAAAAAGUCAUAUUAAUAUUAAAAUGAAUUAAUUAAAUAUUAAACCAACUCUUGAAACAUUUCCACCACUGAGGAGGCUUCUUGUUUUUGUUUACCAGAAGGAGGCGUUUUGAUUUGGGCGUCAAUUUAACAGGGGAAUAUGCACACUUCCUGCUAUGUCCAUUUCUUUCUGC